CGGCCGCGGUAUCCUAACCGUGCGAAGGUAGCGCAAUCAAUUGUCCCAUAAAUCGAGACUUGUAUGAACGGCCAAACGAGGUCUUAACUGUCUCCUGCAAGUAAUCAGUGAAAUUAGUACCCUCGUGCAAAAACGAGAAUGUGAUCAUAAGACGAGAAGACCCUGUGGAACUUUAAAAUCACGACCACCCUUCAACUAACACAAACCCAUCGGACUUACCUAUAUAAAGUACCUGGUCGAUAUUUUUCGGUUGGGGCGACCUUGGAGAAAAAUAAACCCUCCAAACCUCAGACCACAACUCUUCACUAAGACCAACCCAUCAAAGUACUAACAGUAAUCAGACCCAAUAUAAUUGAUCAAUGGACCAAGCUACCCCAGGGAUAACAGCGCAAUCUCCUCCAAGAGCCCAUAUCGACAAGGAGGUUUACGACCU
This 433-nucleotide ribosomal RNA is filed under the name Polyplectron napoleonis. Its description in RNAcentral is "partial 16S ribosomal RNA". It matches the Rfam family "Bacterial large subunit ribosomal RNA", at positions 1928 to 2526 of the family's 2925-position model. The record is from RNAcentral. Lineage: Eukaryota; Metazoa; Chordata; Aves; Galliformes; Phasianidae.